Molecule: unclassified non-coding RNA, 332 nt
Filed under: soil metagenome
Description: partial contains 5.8S ribosomal RNA, internal transcribed spacer 2, and large subunit ribosomal RNA
Rfam family: 5.8S ribosomal RNA (bases 1-120)
Source: RNAcentral
GAUGAAGAACGCAGCGAAAUGCGAUACGUAAUGUGAAUUGCAGAUUUCAGUGAAUCAUCGAAUCUUUGAACGCACAUUGCGCCCGCUAGUAUUCUGGCGGGCAUGCCUGCUCGAGCGUCAUUUCAACCAUCAAGCCCUAGGCUUGCGUUGGAGCCCUGCGGCUGCCGCAGGCUCCCAAUUCCAGUGGCGGGCUCGUCGUCGUACCGAGUGCAGUAAACAUCCUCGCUCAGGGAACGUGACGGGUUCUUGCCGUGAAACCCCCCACAUAUCAAGGUUGACCUCGGAUCAGGUAGGAAUACCCGCUGAACUUAAGCAUAUCAAUAAGCGGAGGA